This is a non-coding RNA of Orbilia javanica, 99 nucleotides long. The record is from the annotation of a GenBank genome assembly. NCBI's taxonomy places the organism in Eukaryota, Fungi, Ascomycota, Orbiliomycetes, Orbiliales, Orbiliaceae.
GCGUUUGUGGUUUAGUGGUAAAAUCCAUCGUUGCCAUGUCUAGUUCUUCCAGAAUUAGCCAGUGUCGAUGGGCCCCGGGUUCGAUUCCCGGCGGACGCA